GUCCUCCUGCUCCUCCCAUUCUUCCCUCCUCCACAGCCCACCCUGCCUCUCCUCUGCCCAGCCUCCUGACACACUCCCCUGUUCUGACCCACUUGUACUCUGAAAGAGAGGAACAGAUAAGAGGGAUCAGGGAUCAAGGGAUGACAUGGCUGGAGGUGGAGACGUGUGGUAGGAGGGAGGAGGUGGAGACGUGUGGUAGGAGGUGGAGACGUGUGGUAGGAGGUGGAGACGUGUGGUAGGAGGGAGGAGGUGGAGACGUGUGGUAGGAGGUGGAGACGUGUGGUAGGAGGUGGAGACGUGUGGUAGGAGGGAGGAGGUGGAGACGUGUGGUAGGAGGUGGAGACGUGUGGUAGGUGGGAGGAUGUGCAGACGUGGGGUAGGAGGGAGGAGGUGGAGACGUGUGGUAGGAGGGAGGAUGUGCAGA
Molecule: long non-coding RNA, 424 nt
Organism: Esox lucius (northern pike)
Lineage: Eukaryota; Metazoa; Chordata; Actinopteri; Esociformes; Esocidae
Source: Ensembl